CUACGGGAUGCACCAGUAAGGAAUAUUGCGCAAUGGAGGCAACUCUGACGCAGCCAUGCCGCGUGCAGGAAGAAGGCCUUAUGGGUCGUAAACUGCUUUUAUUUAGGAAUAACCCCCUGCUCGUGAGCAGGGCUGAAGGUACUAAAAGAAUAAGCACCGGCUAACUCCGUGCCAGCAGCCGCGGUAAUACGGAGGGUGCAAGCGUUAUCCGGAUUUAUUGGGUUUAAAGGGUGCGCAGGCGGGCUAUUAAGUCAGUGGUGAAAUCCCGGGGCUCAACUCCGGAACUGCCGUUGAUACUGAUAGUCUUGAGUUUGGUUGAAGUGGGCGGAAUGUAGCAUGUAGCGGUGAAAUGCAUAGAUAUGCUACAGAACACCAAUCGCGAAGGCAGCUCACUAAGCCAAAACUGACGCUCAUGCACGAAAGCGUGGGGAGCAAACAGGAUUAGAUACCCUCGUAGUC
This 459-nucleotide ribosomal RNA is filed under the name uncultured bacterium. Its description in RNAcentral is "partial 16S ribosomal RNA". It matches the Rfam family "Bacterial small subunit ribosomal RNA", at positions 339 to 795 of the family's 1533-position model. The record is from RNAcentral.